This is a long non-coding RNA of Amphiprion ocellaris (clown anemonefish), 502 nucleotides long. The record is from Ensembl. NCBI's taxonomy places the organism in Eukaryota, Metazoa, Chordata, Actinopteri, Pomacentridae.
CUUCUUUGUCUACUUUUGUUAGUCCAUGUAGGUUUCCCAGAGACUAUGGGUUGAGGAGGAAUUGGAAGUUUGUUGGCUUAGACCUGGCGUCAUUCCAUCAGUGAUAAACUUCCCGGCUCAUCUUGGAAGAGUACGUGCCGGAAAGACCACGACCAAGUAGCCUUGAGAUCUUAGGCAGCAUCUCCCUGAGGUCCCUCUCUAUCUCCCCACACAUCCACCAACCACUGGAACACAUCUCCAAAGUUCUGCCGGGCCAGCUCAGCUUCCCCUCAGAAGAAGUGCUGCCACCUGCCAAAUGAAGGAGCCUUUUGAGAGGCAGCUGGCAUCGUGAUUGGACUGUACUUUGGUCUGUUCCAAUCCAGCUUCAGCUCCAGAGACGGCAGGCGGGACGAGUCAACGGAGGCCGGAUGGACGAAGACCAAAGAACUACAGACUCUUAACAAGCUGCUCAAACUCUUGGUACAGGACCUCACCACACGGGUCAAGAAGGUUUCUCUCUCAU